This is a long non-coding RNA of Raphanus sativus (radish), 822 nucleotides long. RefSeq lists it as uncharacterized. Lineage: Eukaryota; Viridiplantae; Streptophyta; Magnoliopsida; Brassicales; Brassicaceae. The record is from RefSeq and is a predicted model, not a curated record. The transcript is spliced from 4 exons.
CAUUUUUUAUUAUAAUAAUUCAAGAAAAAGCCCAGUCUAUGAAACAUCUCAAUUAAACAACUAGGGUUAUCGUCAAUAUCCGCCUCGGUGCUAUCCGUAUACUUGGAGCCAUAUGUUCGUCGUCUCAAAUAUUCUCCACACCGACAUGUCUCUUCAGCUCUAUCUUAGAGAGGACGCCUCUAUGCAUCAUCACCUUCGGGAUCUCCGUUCAAUUGAAGUUGGAAGAAUCUGGAUUCUCAGAGAGACAUCUGGUCAAGAAAUCAUCAGGUUUUCACAAAUCACCGGUUUGUCCGUAUGGUGCAGUAGUUGUCUAUAAAGUCACCUUGCUGGACAAGCUGAGAUAUGUUACUUAGAAGAUACCAACAUUUUUAAAGAAACCAAACGCAAGAGCGGUAUAGAGAUCUAGCAGGAGGUAACCGCUGUUCAACAGUUGAAGGAAACAAAAGUAGCUGGAACUUCAUUAAAGUUUCAACAACUUCAAAGUAAGUUUGGUGAAUCGGAGAUGAGAAUCUUGGACACUGAGUCUAGGAAAGCAAAACUAGAUAAAGAACUCAAAACUAAGAACACAAGCUUUCCAUUCUUAAAUCAACGAUAGAGAAAGCUACGGCACAGCUGUUCAAAUUGAAUCCUUUUUGGAAACUAUCUGAACCUGACGAUGACAUUGAAAUACUGCCUAAUCAGAACAUCAGCUUGGUUCUUAUUACUAUUUCUGGAUCCAUUAUUAGCUUCUUAUUCUUAUCCAAUGACUAUGAGAUUGGUUUACAUAAACUUCAGUUUCGUUUUCUUUUUACAUUGUAAAGAAAAACUUAAUUUUUCUUUUAU